GCCCGGGUAGCUCAAUCGGUAGAGCGUGUGGCUCUUAAUAGUCAACCUCAAGGUCGCGGGUUCGAGCCCCGCCUCGGGCU
RNAcentral lists this transfer RNA (80 nucleotides) under Blumeria hordei DH14. RNAcentral's name for it is "tRNA-Lys for anticodon CUU". It matches the Rfam family "tRNA". Rfam says of the family: Transfer RNA (tRNA) molecules are approximately 80 nucleotides in length. Their secondary structure includes four short double-helical elements and three loops (D, anti-codon, and T loops). Lineage: Eukaryota; Fungi; Ascomycota; Leotiomycetes; Helotiales; Erysiphaceae. RNAcentral also lists the same sequence under 1 other name. The record is from Rfam by way of RNAcentral.